AUGAGGUAUUUCGGCACCGCCUUGUCCCGGCCCGGCCGCGGGGAACCCUGCUUCAUCUCCGUGCGCUACGUGGACGACAAGCAGAUCGCACGGUUCGACAGCGACGCGGCAAGUUCGAGGAUGGAGCCGCGGGCGCCGUGGAUGGAGAAGGAGGGGCCGGAAUAUUGGGACCGGGGACACGGAUUUUCAAGAACACCGCACAGAGUUUCCGAGUGAACCUGCGGAACCUGCGCGGUUACUACAACCAUAGCAAAGCCGGUGACUGAUGCCGGUCCGGGGCGCAGGUCACGACCCCUCCCCGUCCCCGACGGAGGGCCUGAGUCACCCCGAAUCUCCGGGUCCGAGAUCCAUCCCGAGACUGCGGGACCUGCCCAGACCCUCGACCCGGGAGAGCCCCGGGCGCCUUUACGGGGUCUCGUUUUCAGUUUAGAACAAAAUCCCCGAAGGUUGGACGGGGGCGGGGCUCGGUGGGCGGCCAGGGUCCCACACCCUCCAGAAGAUGUUUGGCUGAGACCUGGGGCCCGAAGGGCGCCUUCUCCACGGGUAUCACCAGCACGCCUAUGACGGCGAGGAUUACCUCCCCCUGAACAAGGACCUGUGCUCCAGGACCACCGCGGACCUGGCGGCUCAUAUCACCCAGAGCAAGUGGGAGGCGGACAAUGUGGCGGAGAAGAUGAGCGCCUACCUGGAGGGCUGGUGCCUGGAAUGGAUCCGCAGACACCAGGAGAACGGGAAGGAGACACUGGAGAGCGCGGAGCUGUCUUCCCAGCCCACCACCCCCAUCGUGGGCAUCGUUUCUGGCUUGGCUGUCCUUGGAGCUGUGGUCGCUGCUGUGAUGUGGAGGAAAAAGAGCUCAGAUAGAAAAGGAAGGAGCUACUCUCAGGCUGCAAUGUGAGACAGCUGCCUUGUGUGGGACUGAGAGGCAAGUUUUGUUCACACCUUCCCUUUGUGACUUCAAGACCCCUGACUUCUUUUUCUGAAAGGCAUCUGAAUGUGUCUGUGUCCUUAUAGACAUAAUGUGAGGAGGUGGGAAGACCAGACCAGCCCCGUGUCCACCAUGACCCCUUCCCCAUGCUGACUUGCAUUCCUUCCCCUGUCACCUUUCCUGUUCCAGAGACCCGGGGCUGGGAUGUCUCCACCUCUGUCUCAACUUUACAGUGCACUGAGCUGUAACUUCUUCCUUUCCUAUUAACAUUAGAAUCUAAGUAUAGUUUACUUUUUCAAAUUAUUUCCAUGAGAGGUUGAUGGGUUAAUUAAAGGAGAAGAUUCCUGAAAUUUGAGACACAAAAUAAAUGGAAGACCUGAGAACCUUCCA
Callithrix jacchus (white-tufted-ear marmoset) is the source of this 1315-nucleotide non-coding RNA. The record is from RefSeq and is a predicted model, not a curated record. NCBI's taxonomy places the organism in Eukaryota, Metazoa, Chordata, Mammalia, Primates, Cebidae.